AGAUUGAACGCUGGCGGCAGGCCUAACACAUGCAAGUCGAGCGGCAGCACGGGUACUUGUACCUGGUGGCGAGCGGCGGACGGGUGAGUAAUGCCUAGGAAUCUGCCUGGUAGUGGGGGAUAACGCUCGGAAACGGACGCUAAUACCGCAUACGUCCUACGGGAGAAAGCAGGGGACCUUCGGGCCUUGCGCUAUCAGAUGAGCCUAGGUCGGAUUAGCUAGUUGGUGAGGUAAUGGCUCACCAAGGCGACGAUCCGUAACUGGUCUGAGAGGAUGAUCAGUCACACUGGAACUGAGACACGGUCCAGACUCCGUACGGGGGCACGACG
RNAcentral lists this ribosomal RNA (329 nucleotides) under uncultured soil bacterium. RNAcentral describes it as "bacterial SSU rRNA". It matches the Rfam family "Bacterial small subunit ribosomal RNA", at positions 26 to 353 of the family's 1533-position model. The record is from RNAcentral.